GCCAAGAAAAGCCACUAAGUUUAUUAUAUGUUGCCCGUACCGUAAACCGACACAGGUGGGUGGGAUGAGUAUUCUAAGGCGCGUGGAAGAACCCUCUUUAAGGAACUCUGCAAAAUAGCACCGUAUCUUCGGUAUAAGGUGUGCCUACUUUGGUAUAUGGACUUGCUCCAAAAAGCUAGAGAGGUUGCAACAAAGAGUCCCUCCCGACUGUUUACCAAAAACACAGCACUUUGCUAACACGUAAGUGGAUGUAUAAGGUGUGACGCCUGCCCGGUGCUCGAAGGUUAAUUGAUGAUGUCAGCGCAUG
RNAcentral lists this ribosomal RNA (307 nucleotides) under Aliarcobacter cryaerophilus. RNAcentral's name for it is "partial 23S ribosomal RNA". It matches the Rfam family "Bacterial large subunit ribosomal RNA", at positions 1607 to 1899 of the family's 2925-position model. Lineage: Bacteria; Pseudomonadati; Campylobacterota; Epsilonproteobacteria; Campylobacterales; Arcobacteraceae. The record is from RNAcentral.